AAACCGUUGAAAGGGAAGCGAAUGGAGUUAGCAAUUCGCCCCGCCAGAUUCAGCCUUCGACGCGCCACGCGGCGCCCGACCUCGAUCUUCGUAGACGAGGCGGGUGCGGGCGGGGCGCGCCGGUGGCGCACUUCUGGCGGGCGAGCGUCAACGAGGGUUGGCCGCCGACUAGAAGGCCGCGGGGAAGGUGGACCGGCCUUCGGGCGGGUUGUAUAAAGCCCCGCGAUCGCAUGGCCGGCGGGCGACCGUGGCAAGCGCCGCGACGCGUGCUCCGUCCCAUUCAGGGACAACGGGGCUGGUGGCCCGUUCUGUUGGUCCGGCUGUCGACUGCGGCGGACGGCGCGCCAGUGCGCUCGAACUGCUGCCGGUCAACAGGGCGGUGACUACACACGACGCGUCGAGGUCGUUGACGACCAUACGGCUCUAUCCGACCCGUCUUGAAACACGGACCAAGGAGUCUAGCAUGUGCGCGAGUCUGUGGGUGAUCGAAACCCGUCGGCGCAAUGAAAGUAAAGGCGACGUCACGUCGCUGAGGUGAGAAGCGGCACCCGUCGCGGGGCCGCCGCAUCAUCGACCGACCUGUUCUACUCUUAGAGAGGUUUGAGUAAGAGCGCACCUGUUGGGACCCGAAAGAUGGUGAACUAUGCCUGAAUAGGGUGAAGCCAGCGGAAACACUGGUGGAAGCUCGUAGCGAUUCUGACGUGCAAAUCGAUCGUCGAAUUUGGGUAUAGCGGCGAAAGACUAAUCGAACCAUCUAGUAGCUGGUUCCCUCCGAAGUUUCCCUUAGGAUAGCUGGAGCUCGGAUGCAGU
RNAcentral lists this ribosomal RNA (810 nucleotides) under Paraminabea aldersladei (Alderslade's carrot coral). RNAcentral describes it as "eukaryotic LSU rRNA". It matches the Rfam family "Eukaryotic large subunit ribosomal RNA", at positions 402 to 999 of the family's 3401-position model. Lineage: Eukaryota; Metazoa; Cnidaria; Anthozoa; Scleralcyonacea; Coralliidae. RNAcentral also lists the same sequence under 1 other name. The record is from RNAcentral.